GAUGAACGCUGGCGGCGUGCCUAAUACAUGCAAGUCGAGCGAACGGACGAGAAGCUUGCUUCUCUGAUGUUAGCGGCGGACGGGUGAGUAACACGUGGAUAACCUACCUAUCAGACUGGGAUAACUUCGGGAAACCGGAGCUAAUACCGGAUAAUCUUUUGAACCGCAUGGUUCAAAAGUGAAAGUCGGUCUUGCUGUCACUUAUAGAUGGAUCCGCGCUGCAUUAGCUAGUUGGUAAGGUAACGGCUUACCAAGGCAACGAUGCAUAGCCGACCUGAGAGGGUGAUCGGCCACACUGGAACGGAGACACGGUCCAGACGCCUACGGGAGGCAGCAGUAGGGAAUCUUCCGCAAUGGGCGAAAGCCUGACGGAGCAACGCCGCGUGAGUGAUGAAGGUCUUCGGAUCGUAAAACUCUGUUAUUAGGGAAGAACAGAUGUGUAAGUAACUGUGCACAUCUUGACGGUACCUAAUCAGAAAGCCACGGCUAACUACGUG
RNAcentral lists this ribosomal RNA (497 nucleotides) under uncultured bacterium. RNAcentral's name for it is "partial 16S ribosomal RNA". It matches the Rfam family "Bacterial small subunit ribosomal RNA", at positions 28 to 507 of the family's 1533-position model. The record is from RNAcentral.